AGCUUGCGUUUGUCUUAGCUGGUA
Molecule: microRNA, 24 nt
Filed under: Aedes aegypti (yellow fever mosquito)
Lineage: Eukaryota; Metazoa; Arthropoda; Insecta; Diptera; Culicidae
Description: Aae-Mir-970_5p* (star (passenger))
Source: RNAcentral